UGCAGUCGAACGGUAACAGGAAGCAGCUUGCUGCUUCGCUGACGAGUGGCGGAGGGGUGAGUAAUGUCUGGGAAACUGCCUGAUGGAGGGGGAUAACUAUUGGAAACGGUAGCUAAUACCGCAUAACGUCGCAAGACCAAAGAGGGGGACCUUCGGGCCUCUUGCCAUCGGAUGUGCCCAGAUGGGAUUAGCUAGUAGGUGGGGUAACGGCUCACCUAGGCGACGAUCCCUAGCUGGUCUGAGAGGAUGACCAGCCACACUGGAACUGAGACACGGUCCAGACUCCUACGGGAGGCAGCAGUGGGGAAUAUUGCACAAUGGGCGCAAGCCUGAUGCAGCCAUGCCGCGUGUAUGAAGAAGGCCUUCGGGUUGUAAAGUACUUUCAGCGGGGAGGAAGGGAGUAAAGUUAAUACCUUUGCUCAUUGACGUUACCCGCAGAAGAAGCACCGGCUAACUCCGUGCCAGCAGCCGCGGUAAUACGGAGGGUGCAAGCGUUAAUCGGAAUUACUGGGCGUAAAGCGCACGCAGGCGGUUUGUUAAGUCAGAUGUGAAAUCCCCGGGCUCAACCUGGGAACUGCAUCUGAUACUGGCAAGCUUGAGUCUCGUAGAGGGGGGUAGAAUUCCAGGUGUAGCGGUGAAAUGCGUANAGAUCUGGAGGAAUACCGGUGGCGAAGGCGGCCCCCUGGACGAAGACUGACGCUCAGGUGCGAAAGCGUGGGGAGCAAACAGGAUUA
Molecule: ribosomal RNA, 734 nt
Filed under: Shigella sp. 1.9-15
Lineage: Bacteria; Pseudomonadati; Pseudomonadota; Gammaproteobacteria; Enterobacterales; Enterobacteriaceae
Description: bacterial SSU rRNA
Rfam family: Bacterial small subunit ribosomal RNA
Source: RNAcentral